Molecule: ribosomal RNA, 301 nt
Filed under: uncultured bacterium
Lineage: Bacteria
Description: partial 16S ribosomal RNA
Rfam family: Bacterial small subunit ribosomal RNA
Source: RNAcentral
CAGUCCCGCGGUAAUACGGAGGGUGCAAGCGUUAUCCGGAUUUAUUGGGUUUAAAGGGUCCGUAGGCGGACUUAUAAGUCAGUGGUGAAAGCCUGUCGCUUAACGAUAGAACUGCCAUUGAUACUGUAAGUCUUGAGUAUAUUUGAGGUAGCUGGAAUAAGUAGUGUAGCGGUGAAAUGCAUAGAUAUUACUUAGAACACCAAUUGCGAAGGCAGGUUACCAAGAUAUAACUGACGCUGAGGGACGAAAGCGUGGGUAGCGAACAGGAUUAGAUACCCGCGUAGUCCCUGUCUCUUAUACA